This 253-nucleotide ribosomal RNA is filed under the name uncultured bacterium. RNAcentral's name for it is "partial 16S ribosomal RNA". It matches the Rfam family "Bacterial small subunit ribosomal RNA", at positions 524 to 776 of the family's 1533-position model. The record is from RNAcentral.
UACGAAGGGUGCUAGCGUUGUUCGGAAUUACUGGGCGUAAAGGGCGCGUAGGCGGCUUUACAAGUCAGGGGUGAAAUCCCACGGCUCAACCGUGGAAUUGCCUUUGAAACUGUAAAGCUAGAGUGUCGGAGGGGAUAGCGGAAUUGCUAAUGUAGAGGUGAAAUUCGUAGAUAUUCGCAAGAACACCAGUGGCGAAGGCGGCUCACUGGCCCGAUACUGACGCUGAGGCACGAAAGCGUGGGGAGCAAACAGG